CCCUUAGAGUUUGAUCCUGGCUCAGAUUGAACGCUGGCGGCAGGCCUAACACAUGCAAGUCGAACGGUAACAGGAAGAAGCUUGCUUCUUUGCUGACGAGUGGCGGACGGGUGAGUAAUGUCUGGGAAACUGCCUGAUGGAGGGGGAUAACUACUGGAAACGGUAGCUAAUACCGCAUAACGUCGCAAGACCAAAGAGGGGGACCUUCGGGCCUCUUGCCAUCGGAUGUGCCCAGAUGGGAUUAGCUAGUAGGUGGGGUAACGGCUCACCUAGGCGACGAUCCCUAGCUGGUCUGAGAGGAUGACCAGCCACACUGGAACUGAGACACGGUCCAGACUCCUACGGGAGGCAGCAGUGGGGAAUAUUGCACAAUGGGCGCAAGCCUGAUGCAGCCAUGCCGCGUGUAUGAAGAAAGCCUUCCGGUUGUAAAGUACUUUCAGCGGGGAGGAAGGGAGUAAAGUUAAUACCUUUGCUCAUUGACGUUCCCCGCAGAAGAAGCAC
RNAcentral lists this ribosomal RNA (501 nucleotides) under uncultured bacterium. RNAcentral describes it as "bacterial SSU rRNA". It matches the Rfam family "Bacterial small subunit ribosomal RNA", at positions 1 to 493 of the family's 1533-position model. The record is from RNAcentral.